UACAGAGGUGGCAAGCGUUGUUCGGAAUUACUGGGCGUAAAGGGCGCGUAGGCGGCCAUCUAAGUCAGAUGUGAAAUCCCCGGGCUUAACCUGGGAACUGCAUUUGGGACUGCAAGGCUUGAGUACGGCAGAGGGGGGUAGAAUUCCUGGUGUAGCAGUGAAAUGCGUAGAUAUCAGGAGGAAUACCGAUGGCGAAGGCAGCCCCCUGGGUCGAUACUGACGCUCAUGCACGAAAGCGUGGGGAGCAAACAGG
Molecule: ribosomal RNA, 253 nt
Filed under: uncultured bacterium
Lineage: Bacteria
Description: partial 16S ribosomal RNA
Rfam family: Bacterial small subunit ribosomal RNA
Source: RNAcentral